UACGGGGGGGGCAAGCGUUGUUCGGAAUUACUGGGCGUAAAGGGCGCGUAGGCGGCCUGCUAAGUCGGACGUGAAAUCCCUCGGCUCAACCGGGGAACUGCGUCCGAUACUGGCGAGGCUUGAAUCCGGGAGAGGGAUGUGGAAUUCCAGGUGUAGCGGUGAAAUGCGUAGAUAUCUGGAGGAACACCGGUGGCGAAGGCGGCAUCCUGGACCAACACUGACGCUGAGGCGCGAAAGCUAGGGGAGCAAACGGG
This 254-nucleotide ribosomal RNA is filed under the name uncultured bacterium. RNAcentral's name for it is "partial 16S ribosomal RNA". It matches the Rfam family "Bacterial small subunit ribosomal RNA", at positions 524 to 776 of the family's 1533-position model. The record is from RNAcentral.